Molecule: ribosomal RNA, 486 nt
Filed under: uncultured bacterium
Lineage: Bacteria
Description: partial 16S ribosomal RNA
Rfam family: Bacterial small subunit ribosomal RNA
Source: RNAcentral
ACUCAAAUGAAUUGACGGGGACCCGCACAAGCGGUGGAGCGUGCGGUUUAAUUCGAUGGCACGCGCAGAACCUUACCAGGGAUUGACAUCUCCCUAAGUUCGCCGAAAGGCGGAUGUGCUUCGCAAGAAGAUGGGAAGACAGGUGAUGCAUGGCCGUCGUCAGCUCGUGUCGUGAGAUGUAGGGUUAAGUCCCUUAACGAGCGCAACCCUCGUUGUAAGUUAUUUUGUCUUACAAGACUGCCUCGGCAACGGGGAGGAAGGAGAGGAUGACGUCUGGUCCGCAUUUCCCUUAUGCUCUGGGCUACACGCACGCUACAAUGGCCGGUACAAUGGGUUGCCAACCCGCAAGGGGGAGCUAAUCCCACCAAAGCCGGUCCAAGUUCGGAUUGCAGGCUGAAACUCGCCUGCAUGAAGUCGGAAUCGCUAGUAAACGUAGGUCAGCACACUACGUUGAAUACGUUCCCGGGUCUUGUACACACCGCCCGU